Molecule: long non-coding RNA, 1070 nt
Organism: Odontomachus brunneus
Lineage: Eukaryota; Metazoa; Arthropoda; Insecta; Hymenoptera; Formicidae
Exons: 2
Source: RefSeq, a predicted model, not a curated record
GGACGGACGGACGGACGGACGGACGUCGGCCAUGUCGUCGUCGUUCUUCCUCGAGCGAGCGUGCGAGCGAGCGAGCGAGCGAUCGAUCCCCCGAGAGCGGAAUGUGCGCGCAGCUGUUCAACAGCUCCUCGUCGUCGGCAUUGGAUCAGCUGAAGGCAUGAGCUCGCAAGAAGAUGAGUGUAGAAGUCUUCCUCAAGUGUGUUUCAAGAACUUUCCGAACGUAUGUUCUUCAAAAUGAACACAUGCAUCUGGAUGGAGUAUCUGUUCACAUCUUACCGGGCAGCAUUAGAUUGCGCUCGAAUGUUCUAAUACUGUCAGGUAAAGAUGUCGUCAGGAUUCCGAAGACAACGAUAAUAAACAAGAGAAGAACGCUACUGAUUGGACUUACGAAACAAGAUACGAUAACAGAACGGAUACGAUUCUUCAGAGUUCUAUUUAGUCACUUGAAUUUUCCCAGGAGAGUCUGUAAUAGGGCCCUCUCUGUCUCCAUGUGGGCAGUAUCUAAAAAUAGAUUACGAGAUAAACCCGAAAGUCUUUCCUCAACAAGAGAUUCCCAAUGUGUUGGGAAUUCCUAAUUUACUAUACUAGACCUUACAAGCGUGUUUAAAUUUGUUACUCAAUCUCUCAUUUACCUUUCUUAAUUUAUUUUUAUUUAUUUAAAUAAUAUUUCUUAUUUUCUCAUUCUCACUCAUUUUUUCCUAAUUUUAUUAUAUUACUAUGUAUGUGUGUGUACGUAUAUAUAUUUUUUUCUCUUUGGAAGGAAAAGAGAACCCCAAAAAAAUCUUAUAUACUUAUUUAUAAUAUUUAGUUAUAUUUUAGAAUUUAUAAAUAUUCAAAAGACAUAAGUUUACCGCACAUAGAUUACAUAUUAAUAUGUAUAAUACACAUACUAAUGUUUUACUAAUUAAAAUAAUAAAAUGUGUAGUUGAAAAUUCCUUUUAUCUAAUGGCGAUGUACGUUAAUUGUGCAUAUAUGACUGUUCGUUAAUUGUGCAUAUAUGAUAUGCAUAAUUGAUAAUAAAUAUUUUUUUAUCAAUGGCAAGUAGAAAAUAAAAGAUUAUGACAGUUCUA